GUAGGCUGCAACUCGCCUACAUGAAGUUGGAAUCGCUAGUAAUCGCGAAUCAGAAUGUCGCGGUGAAUACGUUCCCGGGUCUUGUACACACCGCCCGUCACACCACGAGAGUUUACAACACCCGAAGUCAGUGGCCUAACCGUAAGGAGGGAGCUGCCUAAGGUGGGGUAGAUGAUUGGGGUGAAGUCGUAACAAGGUAGC
This 201-nucleotide ribosomal RNA is filed under the name uncultured bacterium. RNAcentral describes it as "partial 16S ribosomal RNA". It matches the Rfam family "Bacterial small subunit ribosomal RNA", at positions 1300 to 1500 of the family's 1533-position model. The record is from RNAcentral.